This is a long non-coding RNA of Uranotaenia lowii, 711 nucleotides long. RefSeq lists it as uncharacterized. Lineage: Eukaryota; Metazoa; Arthropoda; Insecta; Diptera; Culicidae. The transcript has 4 exons. The record is from RefSeq and is a predicted model, not a curated record.
CAAAAUAAUAAAAAUAGUUCGCACGAAAACGACUAAAACGGACGUGAUUUCAUAAUUUGUUUUGAUUUAUAGUUCAUAUUUUUCGUUGACUGUGGCUAUUCGCGAUGUGCAAUUAACUUUUAUAAGUUAUUUAGUCGCCGGUUGGAGCAGAACUUAGACGACUAUCCGGAGUCCGGAGCAGUUCAAGAGUAGGUUAUCACCUCAAUUCAUUUGAGGAUCCUGCAGGAAUAAAAAAAAUCCGGUCACGGAUUUUCGGUUGAGAUUCAUGAUCAAGAUACCGAAUCCGGAAACUGCUUAACAACCUCCGAAGCUGGUAAAGAAUACUUUCUCAAUCCAUUCGUCGUGCCCGGAGAUGCAAGUUGUCACGUUUGUGGAGACUAAAAAGCCGCUACAGAUUCUGGUUUGGCGAACCGCGUCCCAACCUUGGCUGCAAUACUUUUUUGUUGGUCAUCUCGCAGACGUGGCUAACUGCGAGAUUGGAGAACGAACCGAUAUCAGAAUGUGGAAAGCUCAAUCCGGAACCAUCAAUGGAACAACAUCAUGGAAUAUCAGGAACGGCGAUAAAAAUCUAUCCGAAAGUGGAUGAGCGAUUUUCAAUUGUUUAAAUGUCUAUAGGCUGGAAUGAAACUGCUAGAAAUGCUACGAGAAAGAAGGAUAGGAUAAACUCAACUGCGAGGGAUUAGAAAAUGGCCAGCAUUUUUCACCAUCAAG